UUAUAAGGUUAAGUUAAUAAGGGCGCACGGUGGAUGCCUUGGCACUAGAAGCCGAUGAAGGACGUGACUAACGACGAAAUGCCUUGGGGAGCUGUAAGUAAGCAAUGAUCCAGGGAUGUCCGAAUGGGGGAACCCGGCAGGUAAUGCCUGUCACUCACUACUGUUAAGGUAGUGAAGAGGAAGACGCAGUGAACUGAAACAUCUAAGUAGCUGCAGGAAGAGAAAGCAAAAGCGAUUGCCUUAGUAGCGGCGAGCGAAACGGCAGGAGGGCAAACCGAGGAGUUUACUCCUCGGGGUUGUAGGACUGCAAUGUGGACUUAAAGAGUAUAGAAGAACUACCUGGGAAGGUAGGCCAAAGAGAGUAAUAGCCUCGUAUUUAAAAUAUUUUUUAUACCUAGCAGUAUCCUGAGUACGGCGAGACACGCGAAAUCUCGUCGGAAUCCGGGAGGACCAUCUCCCAACCCUAAAUACUCUCUAGUGACCGAUAGUGAACCAGUACCGUGAGGGAAAGGUGAAAAGUACCCCGGAAGGGGAGUGAAAUAGAACCUGAAACCGUGUGCCUACAACAAGUUCGAGCCCGUUAAUGGGUGAGAGCGUGCCUUUUGUAGAAUGAACCGGCGAGUUACGAUAUGAUGCGAGGUUAAGUUGAAGAGACGGAGCCGUAGGGAAACCGAGUCUUAAUAGGGCGGAUUAGUAUUAUGUCGUAGACCCGAAACCAUGUGACCUACCCAUGAGCAGGUUGAAGGUGCGGUAAGACGCACUGGAGGACCGAACCAGGGCACGUUGAAAAGUGCUUGGAUGACUUGUGGGUAGCGGAGAAAUUCCAAACGAACUUGGAGAUAGCUGGUUCUCUCCGAAAUAGCUUUAGGGCUAGCGUCGACAUUUGAGAAUCUUGGAGGUAGAGCACUGUUUGGAUGAGGGGGCCAUCUCGGUUUACUGAUUUCAGAUAAACUCCGAAUGCCAAUGAUUUAUGGUCGGCAGUCAGACUGCGAGUGCUAAGAUCCGUAGUCGAAAGGGAAACAGCCCAGACCACCAGCUAAGGUCCCAAAAUAAUUGUUAAGUGGAAAAGGAUGUGGGGUUGCACAGACAACUAGGAUGUUAGCUUAGAAGCAGCUAUUCAUUCAAAGAGUGCGUAAUAGCUCACUAGUCGAGUGACCCUGCGCCGAAAAUGUACCGGGGCUAAAACAAUUUACCGAAGCUGUGGAUAACACUUUAGUGUUAUGGUAGGAGAGCGUUCUAUGUGUGAAGAAGGUAUACCGUGAGGAGUGCUGGAACGCAUAGAAGUGAGAAUGCCGGUAUGAGUAGCGAAAGAUGGGUGAGAAUCCCAUCCACCGUAAGACUAAGGUUUCCAGGGGAAGGCUCGUCCGCCCUGGGUUAGUCGGGACCUAAGGAGAGACCGAAGGGUGUAUCCGAUGGACAACAGGUUGAUAUUCCUGUACUAGAGUAUGAAGUGAUGGAGGGACGCAGUAGGCUAACUAAAGCGGGCGAUUGGAAGUGCCCGUCUAAGCAGUGAGGUGUGAUAUGAGUCAAAUGCUUGUAUCUGUAACAUUGAGCUGUGAUGGGGAGCGAAGUUAAGUAGCGAAGUUAGUGACGUCACACUGCCGAGAAAAGCUUCUAGCGAUGUAUCAUACUCUACCCGUACCGCAAACCGACACAGGUAGUCGAGGCGAGUAGCCUCAGGUGAGCGAGAGAACUCUCGUUAAGGAACUCGGCAAAAUGACCCCGUAACUUCGGGAGAAGGGGUGCUGGCUUAAAGUCAGCCGCAGUGAAUAGGCCCAAGCAACUGUUUAUCAAAAACACAGCUCUCUGCUAAAUCGUAAGAUGAUGUAUAGGGGGUGACGCCUGCCCGGUGCUGGAAGGUUAAGAGGAGGGUUUAGCGCAAGCGAAGAUCUGAAUUGAAGCCCCAGUAAACGGCGGCCGUAACUAUAACGGUCCUAAGGUAGCGAAAUUCCUUGUCGGGUAAGUUCCG
This 1969-nucleotide ribosomal RNA is filed under the name Streptococcus suis. RNAcentral's name for it is "bacterial LSU rRNA". It matches the Rfam family "Bacterial large subunit ribosomal RNA", at positions 1 to 1985 of the family's 2925-position model. Lineage: Bacteria; Bacillati; Bacillota; Bacilli; Lactobacillales; Streptococcaceae. The record is from RNAcentral.